Grammomys surdaster is the source of this 102-nucleotide small nuclear RNA. Lineage: Eukaryota; Metazoa; Chordata; Mammalia; Rodentia; Muridae. The record is from RefSeq and is a predicted model, not a curated record.
GCUCACUUCAGUAGUACAUAUACUAAAAUUGAAAUGAUACAGAGAUUAGCAUGGCCCCUGCACAUGGACGGCACGUAAAUUUUUGAAGCGUUCCAUAUUUUU